UCGGCGUGUCACUAUCCAGGUGCCUGAUGCAGGGUGGAGACGUGGAUCAUGACGUUAAUGGCGGAGGGGGUAAAGCCCCACAGCACAGAAAUUUCAAGGUGCACAGAAGGAGCAGCAACAGAGGAACUUCAAUUUGAUAAAGGAAUGCACCAGGACAGCAAUUUGGAAGCUGAUCAAAAUGUAUUAAUCUCACAUGCUGGAAAAGACUGCCCUAACAAAGUGGAUGCAGAAAUCUCAAAGUCAGAGUCAGAAACUUGAAAACAGGACAUGCUUUUAAUCAGGAUGGGCUGUCUCAGCAACUUGGAAGCAGGAGGGGAUAAUCGCUUAGUCAGAAAGGAAGGGAACAGCAACUUGGAAGCAGGACAGGACCUGGCAAACACUCUGUUAUCAUCUGUAGACAUUGGUCCAGAUUCAUUAAAAUUCAUAUAUGAAGCUAAAAUCCUUCAGAAAAACAUGGGUGCAGUAUCGCACCUGGAAAAUUGCAAAAUGUAAAGAUAUUUGUACCUGCCCCUUGUCGCAUCCAUGAGUUGUGAGUGACUCUUCAUUAUAAUUAAUGAAACAUCAUGUAUCUUAACAGUUAAUAGAACAAGCUCCACUGUGAAGGACAGCGACAUCACAAAAACAUGUUCAAAACAGCACAAAACAAACAAAUCAAAAUGGAAAAACCCUUGCUUGAUAAAACAGUUCACAGUAAAAUAUGCAAAAAUGGAAACUUAAAGCAAAAGAAAAACAAAUGACAAUUUUUACAGCUUUGUUUAUAGAGAAGAAAUAAUGGCACUACUCAGAAAUUAAUAAAGUAUACUGAACGUUCCCCUUUAACCCAAA
This is a long non-coding RNA of Bombina bombina (fire-bellied toad), 825 nucleotides long. RefSeq lists it as uncharacterized. The transcript is spliced from 2 exons. Lineage: Eukaryota; Metazoa; Chordata; Amphibia; Anura; Bombinatoridae. The record is from RefSeq and is a predicted model, not a curated record.